Molecule: long non-coding RNA, 630 nt
Filed under: Nicotiana benthamiana
Lineage: Eukaryota; Viridiplantae; Streptophyta; Magnoliopsida; Solanales; Solanaceae
Description: long non-coding RNA (NBEN_LNC002430)
Source: RNAcentral
AUGUCCAGUCGCUUGACAUCAGAAUCCCGCAUAUAUGCUGAUAAAGCAAGAGAUUUAAAUCGCCAGGUUAGUGCCAUGGAAAUUUAAGAUAAUGUGCUCAUAUUCUUGGCAGAAAGUGUACUUUCCACUUUUCAUUAGUCAGAAUGCAAAGUGGUGAUGUAGAAGGAUUUCAAGUAACAUGAAACUUGGGAUUUGUUCUUUACGUUCUAAUGCACACGCAGAUUGAUAUCAUGUAGGAUGUCAUUGUAGAAGAUUAUGGGGCUCGGUCUCUAGUUGAUUGUGGAUGGAUAUUUUCUAUCGUUGAACAGAACAUUUGGAGGCCUGUGGUUAAGAAAUAGGAUGGAGAAAUAUCAAACCAUGAUGUAUCACCAUUGAGGACUUCUGUUUCCUGCCAUUGCUCCUCGAAACUUGCACUUCAGUCUCGUUUGUGCUUAGACUAGGACAAACCAACAGAAAAUGGGAGUGAAAUUUUGCCCCCGUUUGGUUCUAGUUUUAGGUGUCUUGUUAGAUCCUUGCACUAGCAUAAACAUGCAGGCAUGUAUCAGAUUUGCUUCCUGUCUUAUCAUGGAAUACGUUCUUUAUUUUUUAUAUCUGCGAUUACUUUAAUAUACUGAUCAUAUAUUCAUAACU